UACGGAAGGCAGCAGUGGGGAAUAUUGCACAAUGGGCGCAAGCCUGAUGCAGCCAUGCCGCGUGUAUGAAGAAGGCCUUCGGGUUGUAAAGUACUUUCAGUCGUGAGGAGGGUGUUAAGGUUAAUAACCUUAGCAAUUGACGUUAGCGACAGAAGAAGCACCGGCUAACUCCGUGCCAGCAGCCGCGGUAAUACGGAGGGUGCGAGCGUUAAUCGGAAUUACUGGGCGUAAAGGGCACGCAGGCGGUUAAUUAAGUUGGAUGUGAAAUCCCCGGGCUUAACCUGGGAAUGGCAUUCAAGACUGGUUAGCUAGAGUCUUGUAGAGGGGGUAGAAUUCCAUGUGUAGCGGUGAAAUGCGUAGAGAUGUGGAGGAAUACCGGUGGCGAAGGCGGCCCCUGGACAAAGGCUGACGCUCAUGUGCGAAAGCGUGGGGAGCAAACAGGGAUUAGAUACC
This 453-nucleotide ribosomal RNA is filed under the name uncultured bacterium. RNAcentral describes it as "bacterial SSU rRNA". It matches the Rfam family "Bacterial small subunit ribosomal RNA", at positions 340 to 786 of the family's 1533-position model. The record is from RNAcentral.